Molecule: long non-coding RNA, 428 nt
Organism: Orcinus orca (killer whale)
Lineage: Eukaryota; Metazoa; Chordata; Mammalia; Artiodactyla; Delphinidae
Exons: 4
Source: RefSeq, a predicted model, not a curated record
AUAGAGCCUGCACUUUGAAUUGUAUUUCCAGUUGGAGCAAUGAUCCAUCCACGUCCCGUUUCAGGAUCGGCUCUGCGACCAACAGCCUACCGUGAGAGCCUGGGGAUGAAAAUCAUGUCUUGAUAUAAGGCAGCUGAAACAUCCAUAGAAAACCUACUAGCUUCAUGACCAGAGGAAUCAGAGGACAGAACUUAUGGCAGCUAUAGCUGAAGGAAAGUGAGGGGACCAUCCCAGAAAGGAGAGAGCCAGAAAAUGGAAACCCCAGCUGAUGACACUGAAACAGAUGUGGAACAACAACAUACUAGGAAAACUGUACCAACGGGAUCCUCUAAAGAGAAUUGGAUCUCCUAAACGGUCUAGGACCUCUAUUAUUAAGAUGAAUUCAAGUGGUGAGAGCAGAUAUCCCUGCCUUGUUCAUGAAGUUAUAG